RNAcentral lists this ribosomal RNA (228 nucleotides) under uncultured bacterium. RNAcentral describes it as "partial 16S ribosomal RNA". The record is from RNAcentral.
ACGCUCGACACCUACGGGAGGCAGCAGUGGGGAAGUAAUUGUCGACAAAUGGGGGGAAACCCGUGAAUCGCGAACGCGGACCGACCGCGUGAGACGGAAGAAGUAAUUUCGGUAUGUAAAGGCUACUAUUCAGACAAGGGAAAGAAACUGACGGUACCUGACUAAGAAGUCACCGGCUAAAUACGUNCCACAGGCCGCGGUAAUCUGGAGCCGGCGUGGACGAACGGC